Molecule: long non-coding RNA, 209 nt
Filed under: Prunus persica (peach)
Lineage: Eukaryota; Viridiplantae; Streptophyta; Magnoliopsida; Rosales; Rosaceae
Description: long non-coding RNA (PPER_LNC007520)
Source: RNAcentral
AAUCAGUUGCAUGUAACAAAACUCCCCCCCUCUUCAAUCUAUAUGCUCAAAUAUAUUUUAGAAAUUAAUUCAACGGGCUCAGUGCCUCAAACUAGCUCAGUCCACAUCCAAUAUCGAUGCCUGCAUACCCCCAAGCUGACCGAUUUUACAUUUUCCCACAUGUAAGUAUAUAUAUUUAUAUAUAUAUAUUUAGAAUAUGUAGGUUCCCG